Molecule: transfer RNA, 57 nt
Filed under: Ovis aries (sheep)
Lineage: Eukaryota; Metazoa; Chordata; Mammalia; Artiodactyla; Bovidae
Rfam family: tRNA
About the family: Transfer RNA (tRNA) molecules are approximately 80 nucleotides in length. Their secondary structure includes four short double-helical elements and three loops (D, anti-codon, and T loops).
Source: Rfam by way of RNAcentral
UGACUCAGAUGGUAGAGAGUCUGCCUGUAAUGCAGGAGAUCCAGGUUCGAUCCCUGG